RNAcentral lists this long non-coding RNA (243 nucleotides) under Capsicum annuum. RNAcentral describes it as "long non-coding RNA (CANN_LNC015471)". The record is from RNAcentral. Lineage: Eukaryota; Viridiplantae; Streptophyta; Magnoliopsida; Solanales; Solanaceae.
UUCUUCCUUGAACAAACCCAAAUUGUUCUUUAAAAUUAAUAUCAUGUAAUAAUCCCUUAAUUCUUUCAUGAAUAAUUCUAGAGAAGAUUUUAUUCAAAAAAUUACUAAGAGAAAUAGGUCUUAUGUCUAAAAAAGUAUUCACUACUAACUUUUUUGGUAGCAAUACUAAAUUGGUAUGUGUGAUGAAUCUUGGAAGCUCAUACCCACAGAAAAAAGAAAUUAUCAUUUGAUGAAGAUCCUUAG